This 33-nucleotide ribosomal RNA is filed under the name Nosema bombycis. RNAcentral's name for it is "partial 16S ribosomal RNA". RNAcentral also lists the same sequence under 8 other names. Lineage: Eukaryota; Fungi; Microsporidia; Nosematidae. The record is from RNAcentral.
CACCAGGUUGAUUCUGCCUGACGUAGACGCUAU